GCCCGUUUGGCUCAGCGGUAGAGCGCCUCACUAGUACCAACCAGUGCUGCAAUGAGGAGGCGACUGGUUCGACUCCAGUAAUGGGCA
RNAcentral lists this transfer RNA (87 nucleotides) under Whalleya microplaca. RNAcentral's name for it is "tRNA-Thr". It matches the Rfam family "tRNA". From Rfam's summary of the family: Transfer RNA (tRNA) molecules are approximately 80 nucleotides in length. Their secondary structure includes four short double-helical elements and three loops (D, anti-codon, and T loops). Lineage: Eukaryota; Fungi; Ascomycota; Sordariomycetes; Xylariales; Xylariaceae. The record is from RNAcentral.